Molecule: long non-coding RNA, 1376 nt
Filed under: Equus caballus (horse)
Lineage: Eukaryota; Metazoa; Chordata; Mammalia; Perissodactyla; Equidae
Description: lncRNA (ENSECAG00000053171.1)
Source: RNAcentral
GACUUGGUGAGAUCGCCCCAAGGAGGAGGCGAGUGAAGAAGGGGCUCUCAGGGAAAGGCGUUUGCCCCACGGGCUGACUCUGGAGAAAAGAUUAGUCUUCAGCCUGGGAAGUGCUCUGGCCAGCUGAGAGAGCUAUGUGAGGAGGAAACUGUCCUGGAUUUGCUCAUUCCCCACAGCGCCAACAGAGUGCUGAGAACACAAAGGGAAAUCCUUCUGACUUCUGGGAACAGAAGGGGCAGCAGGAGCUGUGAGCCUGAGCCAGGCCCUCCUGCUACUUACUCAAAAUGGACAGAAGGAACCAGCUUUCUCGGGAAACAGGGCUGCUUAGCAAGAGGCCUCGGACCUGCCAUGGGAUGGAAGUAGCAAGAAAAACAAAGCAUGUCUGAGACCGAGGAUGCGAGUCAAGAAGAAGCUGAACUUGGCAGACCAGAUUCACAAAUCCAGGAUCUAGAAAUUUCCAAGUUUCUGUAAGAGGAAUGAAACCCAGCUCUGCAGUCACACGUGCCUGUGAUUUGUCUCCCCUCAACAACAUAGCCGUCUAGGAUCCCACAGAUGCUGCUUUCAAGGAACUUCAGAGGGUUCCUAGGAAAAGUUUGUUUCAAACUGAUGAAACCCCAAAUAUAUUGGAGAUCAAUAAUUUAAAGUGUCAGUAAGAUAAAAUGUUAAGAUAAGAAAAGAAUAUGGCCAAGUCAGCCACACCUGGUGUCCAGCGAUGCUGAGGCUGCCAUGCCUCUGGCAGCACACAUUGUCCAGAGUCAUGGUUAAUGAUGACAGGACCUGAGUCCUGUGAUCUAAGGUGGUGGACCCUGUAUACUCAUAGGCCUGUUCUGCGGCAGAAUUUUUUUUUCGAGGUUCUGGAAAUUUAACCUCCCUUUGUUUUUCCACCUUCUGAGCUUGGAUCUCCAGCUUCCACGGUAAUUUUAUGAGCUACCAAAUGAUUAUUCAGACAAUUGAUUUUCUGGUUGAAUGAGAAUCACUUUCUGUUAUUUCUAACUUAGACUGGACAGAGUUACUGCAUAAAAUUCAACAAGUCAAAACAUAUUAGGUGGUUAUAAAACUAGGAUUGAAAAAAUAAUAAUUUCCACUUACGGCCAAAAAUGGAAUUUAUAGCAACAAGAUUUAUUCUCCCACUUUAAGGAACUAGAAAACUGGACAAAAUGCAAAGAACAGGGGUUUUCACUCACCAAACAGGCAGUGCGAGGCUGCGAUCCCACGGAGAAGGGAACAAGGUGGGCCCCACAGCUGCACCCACUGACUGCCUGGAUGCAGUUUCCAGGCCUCAGCACAGGGAGGGCUAGCCCAAACCGGAGCCAGUUAUCUUGAUGAGUGGAAGAGACAGAAAUCAGAGCUCAGAGAGACCCAGGUGACUAGGAUUU